CUCCUACGGGACGCAGUAGGGAAUAUUGCACAAUGGGGGAAACCCUGAUGCAGCAACGCCGCGUGAGUGAAGAAGUAUUUCGGUAUGUAAAGCUCUAUCAGCAGGGAAGAAGAAGGACGGUACCUGACUAAGAAGCCCCGGCUAACUACGUGCCAGCAGCCGCGGUAAUACGUAGGGGGCGAGCGUUAUCCGGAUUUACUGGGUGUAAAGGGAGCGUAGACGGUUUUUCAAGUCUGAAGUGAAAGCCCGCGGCUCAACUGCGGAACGGCUUUGGAAACUGAGGGACUAGAGUGCUGGAGGGGCAG
RNAcentral lists this ribosomal RNA (305 nucleotides) under uncultured bacterium. RNAcentral's name for it is "bacterial SSU rRNA". It matches the Rfam family "Bacterial small subunit ribosomal RNA", at positions 336 to 660 of the family's 1533-position model. The record is from RNAcentral.